AAUGAAAUAUGUGCAGUGUCACAUGUUUAUUGUAGAUUGUCACAUGACCAGAGCUGUUUACUUCCUCGUUGCGCCAUGAGAAGACGAUAGCUGCGUCAAAGCUCCCAAACAAAAGUUUCACUUUGAGUCAAGUUCUGGAUAUGUUGGAUCUAGGUGACUGCCCAGACAAGGCAUGCAACAUUGCAGUUAUCCCUCAGAGAUUGUGAUAGCGGUGGGUCAGAUAUGGACUAUGGAGGGGGGACAGGCCAUUUGCCAGCCAGGCUGUUGAAUGUAUAUGCUGAAACUAUGCAAACAGACCAUGACAGGAACAACGUUAUCAGUGAUGAUGACCUACCCCACACUCUCCUCCCUGAGACUGGGUUGGGUCAUGGACCUCAAGGUUGCAAGUUCCUUCGUGACAACCUCUUCACUUCACUUGCACUCCUCAAUGAAAUGACAAAAAGAGGAUAUGGGAGCUCUGGAACGAUGAGGCAAAAUUGUCUGUUUGAUGCCCCAUUCAAGCCACAUAAAGACUUCAUGAAGUUACCUGGGGAACCUCUGAGGUUUUGAGCCAAGGAGACGAGUUGCUGGUCCGUUAGAAAGACAUUAACAUUGUCACAGUGGCAACAAACAUGGAGGAGAAAUACAGUGAGACCUCUGUCAAGAGAUGGAACAAGGAGCGAUGUGCUUUUUGACAAAGUCCUACAACAAAAUGCAUCAACCGAUACAAUGAGCACAUGGGGGGGUGUUGUUCUUCACAACCUACAGGUUUCAAUAUUUCAUAUCUCCAUCAGUUCUAAGAAGUGGUGGUGGCCCAUCUUUGCAUGGUCUCUCAACAGUGCACUCGUUAACAGCCAUUUAUUUUACAGAGAUGUUAUGGGAGGGACAAUCGACCUGCUCACCUUCUCAUGGAUAGUGGCACAGUCUCUUAUGCAAAAGUUUGGCACGAGACCACUGAGCCACGGAAGGAGAUCUCUACUGGCUGCCACUGUUGAAGAUCAGGCAAGAUAUGACAAAGCUUCUCACUGGCCAAUCAACACGAUGCACCGGUUCCAGAGAUGUCGUCAUUGUGACAAACGCACUACCUAUGCAUGUGAGAAAUGCAAAGCGCCACUGCACAUUGAGUGCUUCAAGAUAUACCACGGACAGUAGAAAAGGCGUUAAGAGUGAAUGAAAAAGGGCUGAAAAACCCAAUAAAAAAACAAUUGUGAAAAGUCAAUAAAGGGUGAGGAGAAGCAGUACCACGGACUCUAGGAAGAAAAGAAAAGUCAAUGAAAAAGGGAAUCAAUUGAUUCAAGACCUACUGUAUGAAAGUAGGUCUGACUGAUUGUAGUUCAAAAUAGUGAUGCACAAACUAACUGUGCAAUUGGUUCUGAAGCCUACCUCUAUCAUAUAGAUAUACAUGUGUAUAUGUAUGUAUAGGAGACGGAACGUGUCUCCUUCCUGAGCGGUAUGACGGCUGCGUGGUCCCAUGGUGUUUAUACUUGCAUACUAUUGUUUGAACAGAUGAACAUGCUACCUUCAGGCGUUUUUUAUUUAUUUGUUUUACCUUUAUUUAACCAGGCAAGUCAGUUAAUUAAGAACACAUUCUUAUUUUCAAUGACGGCCUGGGAACAGUGGGUUAACUGCCUGUUCAGGGGCAGAACAAGAGAUUUUUACCUUAUCAGCUCGGGGGUUUGAACUCGCAACCUUCCGGUUACUAGUCCAACGCUCUAACCACUAGGCUACGCUGCAGCACCGUAUAUAGGCAGCGUAGGUUUGGAAAUUGCUCCCAAGGAUGAACCAGACUUGUGCAGGUCAACAAUUUUUUUUUCUGAGGUCUUGGCUGAUUUCUUUUGAUUUUCCCAUGAUGUAAAGCAGUUGAGUGUAUGUAAACUUCUGACCCACUGGGAAUGUGAUGAAAGAAAUAAAAGCUGAAAUAAAUAAUUCUCUCUACUAUUAUAAUGACAUUUCACGUUCUUAAAAUAAAGUGAUGAUACUAACUGACCUAAGACAGGUCAUUUUUACUAGGAUUUAAUGUCAGGAAUUGUGAAAAACUGAGUUUAAAUGUAUUUGGCUAAGGUGUAUGUAAACUUCUGACUUCAACUGUAAAUCAUUGGUCCUGACCACAAUUUAAGGUGGUCAGGACCCCCCCCCCAAAAAAAGAACAUUUGGGUGAUGAGUCAUUGGAUAACACAUUGAGAUGGGAAGGUCUUGGCUUUUGAAAUUGCAAGGCAUCUACCUCUGUAAUAAUCCUUGUAGGUUACUCAUAAUCCUACACUAAGGUGAAGACUGAGUGUUCUGUAUUCAUCAAAAGCUGUUAACAUAAUGUGCGUGUGCACACCCAGAGUUAAUGAAGGUUCUGCCCUCAAGGUUUGGAGAGGGCAGAGAAACAUCUCUGUAUUUAUCAAGGAAUUGGACCACAUAGCUCCAUCUGAUGCCAAGCAUGCACUGCCGACAUUGUAAAACAACACCUGAAACAUCAUGCAUGUUACCAGAAAGAAAAAAAAAGUUGUUGCUGUGGCCUUGCAUAGGGAAACCAUAAGAACGAUUAACAUGAAGGGAAUCAGCAACCUACGCAGGUUUUGGGGGGUUUACUAGGCCUAUAAACUACUGCCAAUACACACACUUGUUAUUGUGAAAACUGUCCUCAACCCGGACUGUCUAAAUCCGGGACACUCCAUUUAGUAUGAUAUGUUAUAUUUCAUAUGGUAUGUAUUCAUUUGUGGAUGUGCAUCAUCCAUUUCGGAUGAUAUGUUACAAAUUGCAAUUUGUACAAUGUCACCACAACGUCAUAAAAUUUGUUAUUUUAGUUGAAAAGAAAGAUACAAUUUCUGUAAUUAAGGCAUUUUCUAUGAUUUUUUUUAAAUUUUUUGUAAUAAUAUUUUCGUUACAAUUUGGAAGUUUUCUUAAUUAUAUGUAUUCAUCAUUGUCAUGUCUAAAUGUCCAUAUAUGUCUUGAUGAUACUCAUAAACAUGUUUUUACCACAUCAAAAUCUUUAUAUUUGACAGUAUUUUAGAGAUUAAGAACAAGCAUAUAAGGUUCACAUAUGGGAGAAACCGUAAAUCAAUUUAAUACACUGUUUCCUAAAAAAUAUGUACCCUGAUGGUAAUGACUUAGCAUUGUGGCAAUGACAGUGUCAUGGAAAUAACAUUUCACAUAAAACAUUUUAAUUCAAAAGGGACUUAUUUUGGUGAGCUCUGUGUUUGACCACUUGACCUCUGGUAAUUCUAUCUUGAACUUCUGAUGGAGUUUUGCCAGUGUGUCGUUCAUGUAUCGCUUCUGCAUUUUAUUCUUGUGUCUUGUCAAUCUUUCCUUUUUCCUGUUGAUGCUCGACUGUUACCAUCACGUUCCUAAAAACUUUUUAAAAAAUCUUCUAUGGAUGGGCUGAUUGCAUUCGAAUGUUUCUUUUUUGAGUACCACAGACAAGUUGGCCGUUUGUUGUUUGCCCGCAUUGUCUUCGCAGAGAAUCCAAAUUCUAUUUGCCAUUUUCACCAUGCAAUACUUUUUCAGUAUUUUCCCAGCCAAAACCUUGGAUAUCACUGGUGGGUCUUUUGCACUCGGUUGCUUCUGGUAUUUCUCUCUCAGCUCUGAGAUGAUGGUGUUAUGUUAUUUUUUUCAGAUUCUGUGGAUUUGACCGCAUUUGUUGUUUUGUUUUUGUACCAGAGGAAUCCAAAAUUCUGAUCUUCUCUGACAAUCUAUUAUAUAUAUUUUUAAAUAAUUUCCCUCCGUAUUCUUUCCGCGGCCUUCAACUUCAUAUUGGCCAUACAUAGAUCCUUGUAGACUUUGGAUCUGUUUUUUUACACCUUUUCUACAGCCUCUCUGUCUUGGGGUUUCGGAGUUUGAAUAGGAGGGGGAAUCUAGUGCCAUUUUAAGGGGCAGAUAGGUCAUCAUUCUGUAGCUGUAAGACUUCCUGUGAGUGUGGUGGUGUGUUCCUUGACAGGUGUGACUCCAUAACCAUUCCUCUCUGGAUAGUUGAUCUGUUGUUUCUUUGGUUCAUUUUCCAUUGCCUCCUUUUUCUACCCUUUUUUUCUCACUGGGAAAGUUGUGAGAUUGGUUUCACAGUUCACCACUUUCUUGUCUCUUGAUUUGUCUUUCUUUGUGUCGUCCGGGUUUGAGUUUUGCCAGGUUAGGCCGUCAUUGUAAAUAAGAAUUUGUUCUUAACUGACUUGCCUAGUUAAAUAAAUAUUAAAUAAAUAAAUACAAAUAAAUACUAUUGGUAUCUA
Oncorhynchus keta (chum salmon) is the source of this 4184-nucleotide long non-coding RNA. RefSeq lists it as uncharacterized. NCBI's taxonomy places the organism in Eukaryota, Metazoa, Chordata, Actinopteri, Salmoniformes, Salmonidae. The record is from RefSeq and is a predicted model, not a curated record. The transcript has 2 exons.